CCUACGGGGGACAGCAGUAGGGAAUCUUCCACAAUGGGCGAAAGCCUGAUGGAGCAACGCCGCGUGGGUGAAGAAGGUCUUCGGGGUGUAAAGUUCUGUCAGUGGGGACGAAAAAUGACGGUACCCACAGAGGAAGCACCGGCUAACUCCGUGCCAGCAGCCGCGGUAAUACGGGGGGUGCAAGCGUUGUCCGGAAUCAUUGGGCGUAAAGAGUUCGUAGGCGGCAUGUAAAGUCAGGUGUUAAAGGCGCAGGCUCAACCUGUGUAUGGCACUUGAUACUUGCAAGCUGGAAUGCGGUAGAGGUAAAGGGAAUUCCUGGUGUAGCGGUGAAAUGCUUAGAUAUCAGGAGGAACAUCGGUGGCGUAAGCGCUUUACUGGGCCGUAAUUGACGCUGAGGAACGAAAGCCAGGGUAGCAAAUGGGAUUAGAUACCCGGGUAGUC
RNAcentral lists this ribosomal RNA (441 nucleotides) under uncultured bacterium. RNAcentral's name for it is "partial 16S ribosomal RNA". It matches the Rfam family "Bacterial small subunit ribosomal RNA", at positions 338 to 795 of the family's 1533-position model. The record is from RNAcentral.